GACGAACGCUGGCGGCGUGCCUAAUACAUGCAAGUUGAGCGCUGAAGGUUGGUACUUGUACCAACUGGAUGAGCAGCGAACGGGUGAGUAACGCGUGGGGAAUCUGCCUUUGAGCGGGGGACAACAUUUGGAAACGAAUGCUAAUACCGCAUAAAAACUUUAAACACAAGUUUUAAGUUUGAAAGAUGCAAUUGCAUCACUCAAAGAUGAUCCCGCGUUGUAUUAGCUAGUUGGUGAGGUAAAGGCUCACCAAGGCGAUGAUACAUAGCCGACCUGAGAGGGUGAUCGGCCACAUUGGGACUGAGACACGGCCCAAACUCCUACGGGAGGCAGCAGUAGGGAAUCUUCGGCAAUGGACGAAAGUCUGACCGAGCAACGCCGCGUGAGUGAAGAAGGUUUUCGGAUCGUAAAACUCUGUUGGUAGAGAAGAACGUUGGUGAGAGUGGAAAGCUCAUCAAGUGACGGUGACUACCCAGAAAGGGACGGCUAACUACGUG
RNAcentral lists this ribosomal RNA (497 nucleotides) under uncultured bacterium. RNAcentral's name for it is "partial 16S ribosomal RNA". It matches the Rfam family "Bacterial small subunit ribosomal RNA", at positions 28 to 507 of the family's 1533-position model. The record is from RNAcentral.